RNAcentral lists this unclassified non-coding RNA (311 nucleotides) under plant metagenome. RNAcentral describes it as "partial contains 5.8S ribosomal RNA, internal transcribed spacer 2, and large subunit ribosomal RNA". The stretch from base 1 to 106 matches the Rfam family "5.8S ribosomal RNA", at positions 49 to 154 of the family's 154-position model. The record is from RNAcentral.
CGAAAUGCGAUAAGUAGUGUGAAUUGCAGAAUUCAGUGAAUCAUCGAAUCUUUGAACGCACAUUGCGCCCCUUGGUAUUCCAUGGGGCAUGCCUGUUCGAGCGUCAUUUGUACCCUCUAGCUCUGCUUGGUGUUGGGUGUUUGUCCCCGUCUCCGCGCGUGGACUCGCCCCAAAGUGAUUGGCAGCCGGCGUACUGGUCCCGGAGCGCAGCACAUGUCGCGCAAACGAGUGCCUUGGUACGGCGGCGUCCAUAAGCCCCUCUCUCACGCUCUUGACCUCGGAUCAGGUAGGGAUACCCGCUGAACUUAAGC